CCAACGCACCUGCCCACCUCCCUCCUGGGCUGUAACAGCUACCCAGAGGGCUGCUCUACUCUGGGGUCCCCCUGGGUCCAGAUCGUCUUAUAGAUGGGGCUGUCCUGAGACGGCAAGGUACUGAGCAGCCCCCAUGCCCCAACCCACGUCCAGCCCCC
Long non-coding RNA from Sapajus apella (tufted capuchin), 158 nucleotides. RefSeq lists it as uncharacterized. The transcript has 4 exons. The record is from RefSeq and is a predicted model, not a curated record. Lineage: Eukaryota; Metazoa; Chordata; Mammalia; Primates; Cebidae.